This 63-nucleotide small nuclear RNA is filed under the name Heterocephalus glaber (naked mole-rat). Its description in RNAcentral is "U2 spliceosomal RNA (ENSHGLG00100051640.1)". It matches the Rfam family "U2 spliceosomal RNA", at positions 1 to 86 of the family's 192-position model. From Rfam's summary of the family: U2 is a small nuclear RNA (snRNA) component of the spliceosome (involved in pre-mRNA splicing). The record is from RNAcentral. Lineage: Eukaryota; Metazoa; Chordata; Mammalia; Rodentia; Bathyergidae.
AUCGCUUCUCGGCCUUUUGGCUAAGAUCAAGUGUAGUAUCUGUGCACACAUGCAGCACCACAA